CAAUAGAUACCCAGGUAGUCCACCCGUAAACGUUGGGAACUAGUUGUGGGUCCUUUCCACGGAUUCCGUGACGCAGCUAACGCAUUAAGUUCCCCGCCUGGGGAGUACGGCCGCAAGGCUAAAACUCAAAGGAAUUGACGGGGACCCGCACAAGCGGCGGAGCAUGCGGAUUAAUUCGAUGCAACGCGAAGAACCUUACCAAGGCUUGACAUACACCAGAACACCCUAGAAAUAGGGGACUCUUUGGACACUGGUGAACAGGUGGUGCAUGGUUGUCGUCAGCUCGUGUCGUGAGAUGUUGGGUUAAGUCCCACAACGAGCGCAACCCUCGUUCUAUGUUGCCAGCACGUAAUGGUGGGAACUCAUGGGAUACUGCCGGGGUCAACUCGGAGGAAGGUGGGGAUGACGUCAAAUCAUCAUGCCCCUUAUGUCUUGGGCUUCACGCAUGCUACAAUGGCCGGUACAAAGGGCUGCAAUACCGUGAGGUGGAGCGAAUCCCAAAAAGCCGGUCCCAGUUCGGAUUGAGGUCUGCAACUCGA
This 539-nucleotide ribosomal RNA is filed under the name uncultured bacterium. RNAcentral's name for it is "bacterial SSU rRNA". It matches the Rfam family "Bacterial small subunit ribosomal RNA", at positions 776 to 1315 of the family's 1533-position model. The record is from RNAcentral.